Molecule: ribosomal RNA, 181 nt
Filed under: Ophidion scrippsae (basketweave cusk-eel)
Lineage: Eukaryota; Metazoa; Chordata; Actinopteri; Ophidiiformes; Ophidiidae
Description: partial small subunit ribosomal RNA
Source: RNAcentral
CACCGCGGUUAUACGAGUAGGCGCAAGUUAAUAGACCAGCGGCGUAAAGCGUGGUUAAAGGAUUUACCCCUAAAUAAAGUCGAACGCCUUUAAAGCUGUCCCAAGCAUUUAAAGGUAAGAAGCUCCACUACGAAAGUGACUUUACAGUACUCACCCCCUUGAACCCACGAAAGCUUAGACA